Molecule: ribosomal RNA, 469 nt
Filed under: uncultured bacterium
Lineage: Bacteria
Description: partial 16S ribosomal RNA
Rfam family: Bacterial small subunit ribosomal RNA
Source: RNAcentral
GACGAACGCUGGCGGCGUGCUUAACACAUGCAAGUCGAACGGAAAGGCCCUGCUUGCAGGGUGCUCGAGUGGCGAACGGGUGAGUAACACGUGGGUGAUCUGCCCCUUACUUUGGGAUAAGCCUGGGAAACUGGGUCUAAUACUGGAUAGGACCAUGCUGUAGGUGGUGUGGUGGAAAGAUUAGUUUCGGUAAGGGAUGAGCUCGCGGCCUAUCAGCUUGUUGGUGGGGUAAUGGCCUACCAAGGCGUCGACGGGUAGCCGGCCUGAGAGGGUGGACGGCCACAUUAGGACUGAGAUACGGCCCAGACUCCUACGGGAGGCAGCAGUGGGGAAUAUUGCACAAUGGGCGCAAGCCUGAUGCAGCGACGCCGCGUGGGGGAUGACGGCCUUCGGGUUGUAAACUCCUUUCAGCCAUGACGAAGCCCUUGUGGUGACGGUAGUGGUAGAAGAAGCACCGGCUAACUACGUG